UCCAGGGUAGCCUAGUGGACAUGGCAUCUGCCCGGUAAACGGACCACUGUGAAUUCGAUUCUCAUCCCUGGAC
RNAcentral lists this transfer RNA (73 nucleotides) under Cordylochernes scorpioides. Its description in RNAcentral is "tRNA-Thr". The record is from RNAcentral. Lineage: Eukaryota; Metazoa; Arthropoda; Arachnida; Pseudoscorpiones; Chernetidae.